Molecule: ribosomal RNA, 374 nt
Filed under: uncultured bacterium
Lineage: Bacteria
Description: bacterial SSU rRNA
Rfam family: Bacterial small subunit ribosomal RNA
Source: RNAcentral
AUACGUAGGGGGCUAGCGUUAUCCGGAAUUACUGGGCGUAAAGGGUGCGUAGGCGGUCUUGCAAGUCAGAGGUGAAAGGCUACGGCUCAACCGUAGUAAGCCUUUGAAACUGUAGGACUUGAGUGCAGGAGAGGAAAGUGGAAUUCCCAGUGUAGCGGUGAAAUGCGUAGAUAUUGGGAGGAACACCAGUUGCGAAGGCGGCUUUCUGGACUGUAACUGACGCUGAGGCACGAAAGCGUGGGGAGCGAACAGGAUUAGAUACCCUGGUAGUCCACGCCAUAAACGAUGAGUACUAGGUGUCGGGGGUUACCCCCCUCGGUGCCGCAGCUAACGCAUUAAGUACUCCGCCUGGGAAGUACGCUCGCAAGAGUGAA